CAAGCAGACCGCCUUAUCGCUUCAGGUCUUUUUUGGCCCCGAGGAGGAAAGUCCGGACACCAUAGGGAGGCAUAGCGGCUAACGGCCGUCUGGCUUAGUUUAAGUCAAGGACCAGUGCAACAGAAAGGAUGUACAGGUAAUGCUGUAGUGAAAUCAGGUAAACUCUAUGCGGUGAAAUGUCAUGUAAACCGGCAAUUAAGUGUUUCCCGCGCGAUGCUGGAGGGUAGACAGAUAGAGCUUUUGAGUAAUCAAAAGUCCAGAUAAAUGAUAAGGUAUUACUUCGGUAAGAACAGAAUCCGGCUUACAGGUCUGCUUUUUUA
This 320-nucleotide RNase P RNA is filed under the name Sphingobium sp. Its description in RNAcentral is "RNase P RNA component class A". It matches the Rfam family "Bacterial RNase P class A". Rfam says of the family: Ribonuclease P (RNase P) is a ubiquitous endoribonuclease, found in archaea, bacteria and eukarya as well as chloroplasts and mitochondria. Its best characterised activity is the generation of mature 5'-ends of tRNAs by cleaving the 5'-leader elements of precursor-tRNAs. Lineage: Bacteria; Pseudomonadati; Pseudomonadota; Alphaproteobacteria; Sphingomonadales; Sphingobiaceae. The record is from RNAcentral.